Molecule: long non-coding RNA, 246 nt
Organism: Echinops telfairi (small Madagascar hedgehog)
Lineage: Eukaryota; Metazoa; Chordata; Mammalia; Afrosoricida; Tenrecidae
Exons: 3
Source: RefSeq, a predicted model, not a curated record
CAGCCAGGAAGUCAAGGUUUCACUUCCUCAUAGAGAGUGGAUUUCCAGAAGGACUCUAUUCGGAACCUAAAAAGGCUUACUGGUCUGAUAGAAGCUGGCAGAAUCCAUUGGCCUGGAACUGAACUCACCCCAUGGCGCAACUUCUCAGCCAAAUGAUACGUGGGAACACCACCAGCAGGAAGGGUCAAUUAUCUACCUGUGAACAUGCGCCACAUGCAAUACCAUGACGCCACUUCUUCAUAAUCG